CGGGGUGCACCAGGCGCGAAAACUUUACAAUGCGGGAAACCGUGAUAAGGGGACACCGAGUGCCAGCAUCAUAUGCUGGCUGUCCAGGUGUGUAAAAUACACCUGUCAGCAAGGGCCGGGCAAGACCGGUGCCAGCCGCCGCGGUAACACCGGCGGCCCGAGUGGUGAUCGUGAUUAUUGGGUCUAAAGGGUCCGGAGCCGGUUUGGUCAGUCCUCCGGGAAAUCUGACGGCUCAACCGUUAGGCUUUCGGGGGAUACUGCCAGGCUUGGAACCGGGAGAGGUAAGAGGUACUACAGGGGUAGGAGUGAAAUCUUGUAAUCCCUGUGAGACCACCUGUGGCGAAGGCGUCUUACCAGAACGGGUUCGACGGUGAGGGACGAAAGCUGGGGGCACGAACCGGAUUAGAUACCCGGGUAGUCCCAGCCGUAAACGAUGCUCGCUAGGUGUCAGGCAUGGCGCGACCGUGUCUGGUGCCGCAGGGAAGCCGUGAAGCGAGCCACCUGGGAAGUACGGCCGCAAGGCUGAAACUUAAAGGAAUUGGCGGGGGAGCACAAGGGCGAUUCGC
RNAcentral lists this ribosomal RNA (566 nucleotides) under uncultured archaeon. Its description in RNAcentral is "bacterial SSU rRNA". It matches the Rfam family "Archaeal small subunit ribosomal RNA", at positions 326 to 894 of the family's 1478-position model. The record is from RNAcentral.